RNAcentral lists this unclassified non-coding RNA (874 nucleotides) under Hevea brasiliensis (rubber tree). The record is from RNAcentral. Lineage: Eukaryota; Viridiplantae; Streptophyta; Magnoliopsida; Malpighiales; Euphorbiaceae.
UACUUCAGCAAUGAGGUUUAGUGAGCAGAUGAUACCAGGUUACAAAAACUUUAUUUUAGCUUUGUUUGAGGACCUGAGUCCUACGCAUGAUCCUGCAAAAAGUGAUGGCUUGAGCUCAAAUGGAGAUAUAAAGUUGCCUUGUCAAUCACCUGUGACAGAUGAGCUAGUUGGGCCAUCUCAAGCUGAUGUAUUUGACCCUUUGAAGAGAUCUGAUGGGAAUUCAUCCAAUGAGCAGCGAGGGAGAAACUAAGUAGGCUAAUCUGUCAAAUCACCUGUGACAAACAAGCUAGUUGGGACAUCUCUUUGACCCUUUAAAAGGGUCUGAUUCGAAAUUCACCCAACACGUACAGAGGGAGAAACCAAGUCCGCUGAUGUUUCCUUUACUCAAAGGGAAGCUUUUUUCAAUAUUGCUGCACCUUGUAUGAGUCAAACCUACUGAAUAGGAAGUUAUGAGCACUUGCUGUGGGACAACAGCUCAGGGAAACAUGUUUUGGGGCUGUUUCCGUUCAGGGAUUUGCAAAUGUUUGUUGGGAUACUGCGUGGGCAAAUCCAAACUUGAAUUGUUUCCGUUUGCUGGGAAUCAAGUAUGGGAUAGUGUGGAGAAGUUUCAACGCGACUGGGCUCUUCGAGGGACUGGGAUUUUGUUUGGUAGGUCAUACUCAGCUUCCUCUCCGAGGACAGUUUGCAAGAACAGGGUGUUGUUUGACUCUAUCUAUACCACGUUAAGGUGUCAAUUACGUAAGAUUUGAUUUUAAUCCUUCUCUUUUCCACAUAUGACUGAGAUCCCCCGUCCCGUCUCCUCCCCCAGAAUCAUUAUGUGAACUUUGUAGAAAUGAGGUGCAGAAAAAAUAGUAAUACAUUGCCACAAGGUAAC